AUUCCAGCUCCAAUAGCGUAUAUUAAAGUUGUUGCAGUUAAAAAGCUCGUAGUUGAAUUUCUGCACAGUCCCGGUUCUGGCUUCGGUCAAGCCGAGGAUUGUGCAUCCGCUUGCAAAUCUAGCUCGGCCUUCACUGGUCGACUAGGGGAGUAAGCCCUUUACCUUGAAAAAAUUAGAGUGUUUCAGGCAGGCAAUGGCUCGAAUACAUUAGCAUGGAAUAAUGGAAUAGGACUUUUGUCCAUUUGGUUGGUUAUUGGACAUGAGUAAUGAUUAAAAGGGACAGUUGGGGGCAUUAGUAUUUAAUAGUCAGAGGUGAAAUUCUUGGAUUUAUUAAAGACUAACUUAUGCGAAAGCAUUUGCCAAGGAUGUUUUCAUUA
This 377-nucleotide ribosomal RNA is filed under the name Parauronema sp. RNAcentral's name for it is "partial small subunit ribosomal RNA". It matches the Rfam family "Eukaryotic small subunit ribosomal RNA", at positions 582 to 975 of the family's 1831-position model. The record is from RNAcentral. Lineage: Eukaryota; Ciliophora; Oligohymenophorea; Philasterida; Philasteridae.